UGUUAAAAUAUUAAUUAAAACGAAGCAAUAUAACCAAUAACAGAUAAAUAAUAAUAAAAUAUGCAAAUGAUCAGUGUGGAUAUAAGGGCCGUAAUUAAUGUACAAGCACGUCGACCAAACUUAGCUUCUGUAAGUUAAUUCUCGUAUGGUUAUUCUCUUAUUACACACACGCUUGCAAUGACUCAAACUUCCAAUAUCGUUAACGACCCUCGGGCACCUUCUUACAGUCGCGUAAAUCCGGAUGUCGGUGAUAAACUUUCGAUUGCUCGUUUAAUGCCAGGUACUAUCGACUGGACAUUUCUUACUCGAUAAACCAACAAAUAAAAUUCCGAGCGAACAUACAUCAUGUGUAUUGCGGGUUUUGUUAACUUUUCGGGCUCUCCAGAUAAUACUGCAACGUCUCAGUUGCCGUAGCAGUGCAGAAUAAUUGAGUGGAUAAAGGUACGUCAAUGAAACAUGCUGGGAGUGACAAAAAACACCGAUAUUAAGAGAAA
Long non-coding RNA from Cotesia glomerata, 494 nucleotides. RefSeq lists it as uncharacterized. The transcript has 2 exons. NCBI's taxonomy places the organism in Eukaryota, Metazoa, Arthropoda, Insecta, Hymenoptera, Braconidae. The record is from RefSeq and is a predicted model, not a curated record.